UACGUAGGGGGCGAGCGUUGUCCGGAUUUAUUGGGCGUAAAAGGCUUGUAGGUGGCCACGCCAAGUCGGAUGUGAAAUCUCCCGGCUCAACUGGGAGGGGUCAUUCGAUACUGGCGGGCUCGAGGCCGGUAGGGGGUAGCGGAAUUCCCGGUGUAGUGGUGGAAUGCGUAGAUAUCGGGAGGAACACCAGUGGCGAAGGCGGCUACCUGGACCGGUACUGACGCUGAGACGCGAAAGCGUGGGGAGCAAACAGG
This 254-nucleotide ribosomal RNA is filed under the name uncultured bacterium. RNAcentral's name for it is "partial 16S ribosomal RNA". It matches the Rfam family "Bacterial small subunit ribosomal RNA", at positions 524 to 776 of the family's 1533-position model. The record is from RNAcentral.